This 26-nucleotide non-coding RNA is filed under the name Homo sapiens (human). The record is from RNAcentral. Lineage: Eukaryota; Metazoa; Chordata; Mammalia; Primates; Hominidae.
UGAGUUCAAAUUCUGGCUGUGCCUCU